This is an RNA transcript of Cherax quadricarinatus, 973 nucleotides long. It is a transcript of the gene named glutathione peroxidase-like, with no coding region annotated. The record is from RefSeq and is a predicted model, not a curated record. Lineage: Eukaryota; Metazoa; Arthropoda; Malacostraca; Decapoda; Parastacidae.
GAAACUGCCUGUUGCAGGCAGUACUGACAAGAUGGCCCGGUUAGUGCCGCUGCUGCUGGGCGCGGCCCUGCUGAGCCCAGGGCUCGCGGAAAUCUUCCCUCGUCGUGUCUGUGGGGAAAUCGAAGGCGACAUUUACCAAUUCUCAGCCAAUUUGCUGGAGAAUGGAACUGAAGUCAGCUUGGAAGAGUACAGGGGCAAGGUGGUGUUGGUGGUCAAUGUGGCCACCUAUUGAGGACUCACCGUGGCCUCUUACACCCAAAUGAAUGCACUUGCGGAGUUCUACGUCGAUGAGGACUUCGUAAUCCUUGGCUUUCCUUGCAAUCAGUUUGGACUGCAAGAGCCGGGAAACAACAGCGAGAUAUUGAACGAUGUCCGCUAUGUCCGUCCAGGCGGUGGAUUUGAGCCUCUGAUGACCUUCUUUGAGAAGAUUGAUGUGAACGGCAAUAAUGAGCACCCACUCUUUACAUUCCUGAAGAGUGCCUGUGAGACUACGUUCACGGAGUUCGACUCAGAUCUCUUUUAUGAGCCCCUAAGAAUUGGGGAUCUUCAGUGGAACUUCGAGAAGUUCCUGAUCAGUAGAGAUGGCAAGCCGUACUCACGCUACCAUCCAAUUGUUGUAGAUCCUGAUGCGCUCAAGGAUGACAUCAACACUCUUCUCAACGCUUAGGACUUUCUCGAGGACUUCAUUCUACUCGAGUGGACACCCACCUCCUAUCCUUGGACUUCCAGCUGAAGUUCCGUAACAUGUCCAUGCCCAUUCUCAUACAGCAUCCCGCCCAUGACGACGCUGUCAAAAACCUUCAGGAGGGCAGCGUCUGAAGUAAUAUAGGGAAGUGUGGCCACUUGUGCAUUCUGGCUGCCACUCUCCUGUCUGUGGGCUGCUGCAGAGGCUGGACUGGGCUGGACGGAGCCGCUGGAAGCCACAUCUGCACCGUGAAUAUGAAUGUUAAUUUCCAAUAAAACAUUCCACUAA